Molecule: ribosomal RNA, 553 nt
Filed under: uncultured bacterium
Lineage: Bacteria
Description: partial 16S ribosomal RNA
Rfam family: Bacterial small subunit ribosomal RNA
Source: RNAcentral
CUAAGAAUAUUCCGCAAUGGACGGAAGUCUGACGGAGCGACGCCGCGUGGAUGACGAAGGCCGAAAGGUUGUAAAGUUCUUUUGCUGGGGAAGAAUAACCGCAGGAGGGAAUGCCUGUGGGAUGACAAGAACCGGCGAAUAAGCCCCGGCCAACUACGUGCCAGCAGCCGCGGUAACACGUAGGGGGGCGAGCGUUGUUCGGAAUUACUGGGCGUAAAGGGCAUGUAGGCGGCUUGGAAAGCCUGGCGUGAAAGUCUGCAGCUUAACUGCAGGGGUGCGCUGGGAACUGCUGAGCUUGAGUGACGGAGAGGGAGCUGGAAUUCCUGGUGCAGGGGUGAAAUCUGUAGAUAUCAGGAAGAACACCGAUGGCGAAGGCAAGCUCCUGGCCGAUGACUGACGCUGAGGUGCGAAAGUGUGGGGAUCAAACAGGAUUAGAUACCCUGGUAGUCCACACAGUCAACGAUGUGCACUAGGUGCUGGGGCGGUAGCUUCGGUGCCGGAGCGAACGUGGUAAGUGCACCGCCUGGGGAGUAUGCUCGCAAGGGUGAAACUC